Molecule: long non-coding RNA, 492 nt
Organism: Tachysurus fulvidraco (yellow catfish)
Lineage: Eukaryota; Metazoa; Chordata; Actinopteri; Siluriformes; Bagridae
Exons: 3
Source: RefSeq, a predicted model, not a curated record
CAGUGACCAUCAUAUUUUACACCAAUAUGUCAGACAUCUUAAAACCUAUCUUCUUCAACACUUUUAUCCAAACAAAUAAAACUAUGAUGUCAGCGGUGGUAUCGGUCUCGCUUUCACAAAUCGCCAGUAAACACCUCACUAGGCCAGUCAACAUCACCCUGAAACACAUCGCUGCAUUAGAACCUGAAUUCAGUCUCUCGUGUGUGUACUGGAAGGACAAAGAAUGGGUUGAAAAUGGCUGUGACAUCAUACAGACUAACAGCAGUCACACUGUGUGCUCAUGUAAUCAACUGGCUACGUUUGCUCUCAUCAUGGAGACCGACCCAUGCAGAGUUAAUUUGACAGAACUUUGCAUAACGAAUUUCCUGAAUCAAGUUCAGGACAACACAGCUCAAGAAUUAACACAGGAGGUGAGUCGGACUUUGCUGUUAGAUCCGAACUGUCACUGUUUUUUUUUUUUUAAUGUAAGCAUAACAUGUCUCUGGCUGUCAG